GGAGGCGGCAGGGAUGCGAUGGCGGAGUCGCUGCCCCUGGAGAUGCUCACAUAUAUUCUGAGCUUCCUGCCUCUGUCAGAUCAGAAAGAGGCCUCCCUCGUGAGCUGGGCUUGGUACCGUGCCGCCCAGAAUGCCCUUCGGGAGCACCCUCUGAAGCCAGAGGGCUACCCCCAGGCCUGCUGCUGCUCCGUAGACAGAUGUGCGAUACAACAUCCCCGUGUCCUCUGCCUCCCUCUCGGCCAUCAAGAGCCUGGGCCUCAAGGGCAUCUGCUGCAUCCGCCUGACCAACCUGGAUGGCUCUCCAGCUUCACACCAGAUGCUACAAUCUGUUGCUUACCACCUGGGCCCACACCUGCAGAGCUUGUCCCUGGGUGGAGGCAGUCCCACAGAGGCCUCCUUUGUGGCCCUGAUCCUGGGCUGCCCAGCCCUGUGUGUCCUUGACCUCAGUGGCUGCAAUAGCCUCUUCACCUCGGGCACACUGCUGGCUCAGCCCGAGAUGGCACAGAGCGUCCGGCAGGCUUUGAGCGGCCUCCGUGAGCUCAACCUGGCUGGCCUGCGAGACCUGGCUGACCUCAGCUUCAACCGGCUCAGCAGCUGUGCCCCCAGCCUGGAGCGCCUCUCCUUGGCAUACUGCCACCUCACCUUCGAGCUAGGCCCAGCCCGAGGGUCCAUCGGCCCCCAAGACUCCUCUCCCUCCCAGUUCUCCUUCUGCAACCUGCUGCGAUUCGUGCAAGAGCGGGCUGGCAGGCUGCGUGCCCUGGACCUGAGUGGCACUGGCUUGCCACCCGAGGCCCUGCGGGCCCUGGGCCAGGUAGCUGGGCUGCAGCUUCAGGAGCUGAGCCUGCACAGCUGCCGGGACCUCUCCACAGAGGCUGUGGCUACCCUGUGCUUCCAGCAACCAGGCCUUACCUCCCUGGACCUCAGUGGCUGCUCAGAACUGACUGAUGGGGCGCUCUUGGCCGUGAGCCGUGGCCUGCGGCACCUGCGGCGCCUGAGCCUGGGGAAGCUGCAGCGGCUGACAGACGCAGGAUGUACAGCUCUGGGUGGCCUGCAGGAGCUGCAGAGCCUCGACAUGGCCGAGUGCUGUCUGGUGAGAGGGCGGGAACUGGCCCAGGCCCUGAGCUCUGUGCACGGGGCUCCAUCCCAGCUGGCCUCCCUCAGCCUGGCCCACUGUUCUUCAUUGAAGUCACGCCCAGAGCUGGAGCAUCAGGCCUCAGGUACCAAGGACCCCUGUCCCGAGCCACAGGGCCCCUCCCUGCUCAUGCUGCGGGCCCUGCAGGAGUUGGACCUCACAGCCUGCAGCAAGCUGACCGAUGCCAGUUUAGCCAAGGUGCUCCAGUUUCCCCAGCUGAGGCAGCUGUCCCUUAGCCUGUUGCCAGAACUCACAGACAACGGCUUGGUGGUUGUGGCCAGGGGCUGUCCUAGCCUGGAGCACUUGGCGCUGAGUCACUGCAGCCGCCUCAGUGACAAGGGCUGGGCCCAGGCAGCCAGCUCCUGGCCGAGGCUGCAGUAUCUCAAUCUGUCCAGCUGCAGUCAGCUCACAGAGCAGACACUGGAUGCCAUUGGGCAGGCGUGCAGGCAGCUCCGGGUGUUGGAUGUGGCCAUGUGCCCUGGCAUCAACAUGGCCGCCGUCAGACGCUUCCAAGCCCAGCUGCCCCAGGUGUCCUGCGUCCAGUCCCGCUUCGUGGGAGGGGCUGACCUGACCCUAACACUCUGAGGCCGG
RNAcentral lists this small RNA (1723 nucleotides) under Pongo abelii (Sumatran orangutan). Its description in RNAcentral is "processed transcript". Lineage: Eukaryota; Metazoa; Chordata; Mammalia; Primates; Hominidae. The record is from RNAcentral.